Molecule: long non-coding RNA, 821 nt
Organism: Patiria miniata (bat star)
Lineage: Eukaryota; Metazoa; Echinodermata; Asteroidea; Valvatida; Asterinidae
Exons: 5
Source: RefSeq, a predicted model, not a curated record
AUGCUUCAAGCUGGUAAAAAAUGUACAUGUCAACUUGGAAACAUUUGGCCGCCUUUUCAGAACCCCAGGGCACUGCUAUUAAGAGACAUUUCAGCAACUGUGUGAUCAUGGGAGGAAAAGCAAGCUUGGCAGGCACAGAAACAUUGCUGCAACGGAGUGAUCACAGGUGGAAAAGCAAGCUUAACAAUUUCGACAGUGGUGCUGUAGUUGCACAUGACACCAAAGAUAAUGUGGCCUAACAGCGGAGAUGGACAUCACCAUCGAUCUUGAGAAUAGACUCGUCCAGCGCCUUGAGUACCUAAUUGUUGGUAGAUACGUGCACUAUAUAAGACUCCGUUAUUAUUAUAUAAGACUCCGUUAUUAUUAUUAUGAUGACUCAAAUCGUCAUGCUGAUGCCACAAAACACUUGGUUAAGCAGCAUCGUCUUAAUUUAACCUGCUCAGUCCCUGGUGAUCUGCUGUUUUGAGGUCUAGUGUGAAGCUCUGUUGCAUUAACCACUUAUUUUGAACCGUAUAUUUGUAAUUUUCCAUAACAUGAACAGUCGUGAGAUUUUUCAGACAUUUGUCUGAAAUCAGACUUUUUGAAUCUAAGAGAAAGACAGUGUAGAAAGAGGUACAUCUUUCAGACCUUUCAUCCAAUUGCCAGACUCUUUUUGUUGAAGUUGACUAUAUCAUCUCUUUAUUCAAAAAAGAAAUAGAAUCCACUUCAUUUGUAUCAAGAAAUCUGUCGUAUUAUUAUUUGUUCUAUUUGUCUAUAGAAAAGGUUUUUAAUAUAUUUUAAUAAGUUUGUGAAUUGUUUUAAUUAAAGAAAUUUGAAAUGAC